Molecule: long non-coding RNA, 1310 nt
Organism: Oncorhynchus tshawytscha (Chinook salmon)
Lineage: Eukaryota; Metazoa; Chordata; Actinopteri; Salmoniformes; Salmonidae
Source: Ensembl
CCCACUCCAACACUCAGACAUCAUUACAGAUAGACAGGGGCACACUCCAACACUCAGACAUCAUUACAGAUAGACCGGGGCCCACUCCAACACUCAGACAUCAUUACAGAUAGACAGGGGCCCACUCCAACACUCAGAGAUCAUUACAGAUAGACCGGGGCACACUCCAACACUCAGAGAUCAUUACAGAUAGACCGGGGCCCACUCCAACACUCAGAGAUCAUUACAGAUAGACCGGGGCCCACUCCAACACUCAGACAUCAUUACAGAUAGACAGGGGCCCACUCCAACACUCAGAGAUCAUGGUGAUUCUCUGAUACACUUCUGGCCCUUCUUUGGACACUGUGUUAACUAACCUCCAGACGAGCUUCAAUACCAUACAACUCUCCUUCUGUGGCCUCUAACUGCUCUUAAAUGCAAGUAAAACUAAAUGCAUGCUCUUCAACCGAUCACUGCCCGCCCGUUCAGCAUCACUACUCUGAACGGUUCUGACUUAGAAUAUGUGGACAACUACAAAUACCUAGGUGUCUGGUGAGACUGUAAACUCUCCUUCCAGACUCACAUUAAGCAUCUCUAAUCCAAAAUUAAAUCUAGAAUCAGCUUCCGAUUUCGCAACAAAGCAUCCUUGACUCAUGCUGCCAAACAUACCCUCAUAAAACUGACUAUCCUACCAAUUCUCGACUUCGGAGAUGUCAUUUACAAAAUAGCCAACACUCUACUCAGCAAAUUGGAUCACAGUGCUAUCCGUUUUGUCACCAAAGCCCCAUAUACUACCCACCACUGUGACCUGUAUGCUCUCGUUGGCUGGCCCGCUCUUCAAAUUCGUCAUCAAACCAAGUCAUCUAAAAGUCUUUGCUAGGUAAAGCCACCUUAUCUCAGCUCACUGGUCAACCAUAGCAGCACCCACCCGUAGCAUGCGCUCCAGCAGGUAUAUUUCACUGGUCACCAUAGAAACUCCCACCCGUAGCACGCGCCCCAGCAGGUAUAUUUCACUGGUCACCAAAGAAACUCCCACCCGUAGCACGCGCCCCAGCAGGUAUAUUUCACUGGUCAUCCCCAAAGCCAAUUCCAACUUUGGCCACCUUCCUUCCAGUUCUCUGCUGCCAAUGACUGGAACGAACUGCAAAAAUCACUGAAGCUGGAGACUCAUAUCUCCCUCACUAACUUUAAGCACCAGCUCACAGAUCACUGCACCUGUUCAGAGCCCAUCUGUAAACAGCCCAUCCAACUACCUCAUCCCCAUACUGUAAUCUAUUUGAUUUAUUUUGCUCCUUUGCACCCCAGUAUCUCUACUUGCACAUUCAUCUUCU